GCACCUCAUAAAACGGGGGCCGGGCGUGGAAACCCGAACGUUACUGGAGCGCAUAGCCGCGCUGAAGCGGUUUUUUU
This is a non-coding RNA of Shigella flexneri 2a str. 2457T, 77 nucleotides long. The record is from Rfam. Lineage: Bacteria; Pseudomonadati; Pseudomonadota; Gammaproteobacteria; Enterobacterales; Enterobacteriaceae.